Molecule: ribosomal RNA, 927 nt
Filed under: uncultured Ascomycota
Lineage: Eukaryota; Fungi; Ascomycota
Description: eukaryotic LSU rRNA
Rfam family: Eukaryotic large subunit ribosomal RNA (bases 289-927)
Source: RNAcentral
AUCGAUGAAGAACGCAGCGAAAUGCGAUAAGUAAUGUGAAUUGCAGAAUUCAGUGAAUCAUCGAAUCUUUGAACGCACAUUGCGCCCUCUGGUAUUCCGGAGGGCAUGCCUGUUCGAGCGUCAUUUGCUAAACUCAAGCCUACUUGUAGGCCUGGUCUUGGGUGCUGUCCUCUCUGGAGGACACACCUCAAAUGCAACGGCGACACUGCCUGGCUUCAAGCGUCUAGGAAACUUCAUCGCUUCUGUCAGAUAAAUGUCUGCCUCUCAACCCCAAUUUUUAUUCUGGGUUGACCUCGGAUCAGGUAGGGAUACCCGCUGAACUUAAGCAUAUCAAUAAGCGGAGGAAAAGAAACCAACAGGGAUUGCCUCAGUAACGGCGAGUGAAGCGGCAACAGCUCAAAUUUGAAAUCUGGGUCUUUCAGGCUCCGAGUUGUAAUUUGUAGAGGGAUCUUCGGGUGUGGUCCGGCCUAAGUUUCAUGGAACUGAACAUCAUAGAGGGUGAGAAUCCCGUAUGCGGCCGGGUGCCUAUAUCCAUGUGAAGUCUCUUCGACGAGUCGAGUUGUUUGGGAAUGCAGCUCAAAAUGGGUGGUAAAUUUCAUCUAAAGCUAAAUACCGGCGAGAGACCGAUAGCGCACAAGUAGAGUGAUCGAAAGAUGAAAAGCACUUUGGAAAGAGAGUUAAAAAGUACGUGAAAUUGUUGAAAGGGAAGCGCUUGCAAUCAGACUUGCCUUCAGCUUAUCAUCCGGUGUUCUCACCGGUGCACUAGGUUGUUGUCAGGCCAGCAUCGGUUUUGGCGGCUGGAUAAAGGCCUUGGGAAUGUGGCCCCUCUCGGGGGGUGUUAUAGCCCAGGGUGCAAUGCAGCCAGCUGGGACCGAGGACCGCGCUUCGGCUAGGAUGCUGGCGUAAUGGUUGUAAGCGACCCGUCUU